UGGAUGGGUUCCCGAGUGGCCAAAGGGGGCAGACUGUAAAUCUGUUGCGACACGCUUCGAUGGUUCGAAUCCAUCUCCAUCCAU
Molecule: transfer RNA, 84 nt
Filed under: Lacrimispora sphenoides
Lineage: Bacteria; Bacillati; Bacillota; Clostridia; Lachnospirales; Lachnospiraceae
Also listed under: 3 other names
Description: [Clostridium] sphenoides tRNA-Tyr(gta)
Rfam family: tRNA
About the family: Transfer RNA (tRNA) molecules are approximately 80 nucleotides in length.
Source: RNAcentral